ACUGGCAAGGAGGUGGUAGCAGGAAAUAGGCAUGUGGUGACUUCAGUAACAGAGACGACUGCAGGGCUGACCUAAGCUUAGUAGCCUGGCUUCUCCGGGAGCUGAGGGUGAGCAUCAUGCCUGCUCCAUCUCCCUCUUUGUUGUGGAUAAGGCAGGGUCAUCAAGACAGGAGGAUAUGAGGCAGAAUCACCACACAAGGGCACGGUGGCUCACACCUGUAAUCCCAGCAUUUUGGAAGGUGGAGGUGGGCGGAUCACCUGAGGUCGGGAGUUCGAGACCAGCCUGACCAACAUGGAGAAACCCCGUCUCUAUUAAAACAUACAAAAAUUAGCUGGGUGCGGUGGCAGGCGCCUGUAAUCCCAGCUACUUGGGAGGCUGAGGCAGGAGAAUCGCUUGAACCUGGGAGGCGGAGGUUGCAGUGAGCUGAGAUCGCGCCAUUGCACUCUAGCCUGGGCAACAAGAGUGAAACUCCGUCUCAAAAAAAAAGAAAAAAAUCUUUUUCUUUGUCACCUAUGCAAUGUUUGACCUGCAAGUGCUUGUAUCUUUUGUAAUUGUUUAAAUCCCUCAAAAUUUUAAAUGAGUAUUGAAUAUAUUUUGUGUUUUUCCAAAUAUAAGAUUCUAUAAAGAAGAGAAUGAUGUAAGUGACCCGGGGGCAAUGGGGGGAGCUUAAAUUUGAAACUAGAAAAAAUUUUGAACAAAAUAAUCAUAAUUGUUAGCUGAUGAAAAACUAGAAAAUAUUUUCUGAGUAAAUUCUUGAUUUCAGAAAUUAACUAUAAUUUAUAUUGCUCUUAAUAUCUUACCCUUGAAUAUAAAUGAUUAAUGCCCUUUAAAAUGUCCUUUUUUCUAGCUAACCUGAUGUACAUAUGACAUUAAUCCAAUAGACUUAGGAAUAAGAUACAGGGGGUUUUCCUGAAUGAUUCGAGUAUAUCCCCAUUCAUAUUAAGAAAACAAAGUAUUGGCCAAGCGUGGUGGCUCACGCCUGUAAUCCCGGCACUUUGGAAGGCCGAGGCCAGUGGAUCACCUGAGAUGGACUCAACGACUCUCUUACCGUCCAGCUCUCAAGUCCCUUCUCUUGUGAAAAUGGAAAAGUUGAACUACAGUUGAGAUAUUAUUCCCAGGUGUUCUUUGGAACACAGGGGAUUUCUCCAAAAGGCACAGAACAAAUUGCCUCCAAACAGCCAAGAUUCCAGCAGAAGCUGGAGUAGCAGACUACUUGGAUCUUCAAAGUACCUGGCCCUGAGUCAGUUAAGGAAGAUCUUUUCUUCUCUUUUGUACAAUCCUAUGAUGAGAGCUGCAAAGUGAACUGACUAAGAGCUUCUGCCUUGAUCAUUGACCUCCCAAUCCUAAUAAUAUGUUCACUGGCCAAACUUCCUAAUCGAUUUGUCUUUUGGAUAUAACGUUCCUCCUACUGUUUGCCUGAUUGAGAAAUCUGCUACAGAACAUGACCGGUUAGCAUUCCCACCAACCCCAGUGCUACACUGACUGUCUUUCGAUGGACUUUGCUCCUUGCUGCCUCUCUGAGGUCCCAGACCUUCAGAGUGACCUUCACAGCUCUGCCUAACUUUCUGUCAUACUUCUAUCAAGAGAGACAGCUAAAUCAAUAUUUUUAAUGUGCUUUGCUGUCGGAAUUCGAUGAUCUGUCACAGUUCUUGCCCAAUACACCCCAUCAUUAUUGUUAAAAUGUUUUUAGCUUUGUUUGUAGAAUUGCUUUAACUGGUUUCAUCUCUGGGAGCUACACUUUGAAAUAUAACUUUAGCAACA
Molecule: long non-coding RNA, 1761 nt
Filed under: Homo sapiens (human)
Lineage: Eukaryota; Metazoa; Chordata; Mammalia; Primates; Hominidae
Description: hepatic lncRNA metabolic regulator 1
Source: RNAcentral